UGGGGAAUUUUGCACAAUGGGGGAAACCCUGAUGCAGCGACGCCGCGUGAUUUAGAAGGCCUUCGGGUUGUAAAAAUCUUUUCUAUGGGAAGAAAAUGACAGUACCAUAGGAAUAAGGACCGGCUAAUUACGUGCCAGCAGCCGCGGUAAUACGUAAGGUCCGAGCGUUGUCCGGAAUCAUUGGGAGUAAAGGGUACGUAGGCGGGUAAGCAAGUUAGAAGUGAAAUCCUAUAGCUCAACUAUAGUAAGCUUUUAAAACUGCUCAUCUUGAGGUAUGGAAGGGAAAGUGGAAUUCCUAGUGUAGUGGUGAAAUGCGGAGAUAUUAGGAGGAAUACCGGUGGCGAAGGCGACUUUCUGGCCAUAACCUGACGCUGAGGUACGAAAGCGUGGGUAGCAAACAGG
Molecule: ribosomal RNA, 402 nt
Filed under: bacterium
Lineage: Bacteria
Description: partial 16S ribosomal RNA
Rfam family: Bacterial small subunit ribosomal RNA
Source: RNAcentral